GAUGAAGAACGUAGCGAAAUGCGAUAGGUAGUGUGAAUUGCAGAAUUCAGUGAAUCAUCGAAUCUUUGAACGCACAUUGCGCCCCUUGGUAUUCCAUGGGGCAUGCCUGUUCGAGCGUCAUUUGUACCUUCAAGCUUUGCUUGGUGUUGGGUGUUUGUCCAUUCUCUUGCAGAGGGACUCGCCUUAAAGUAAUUGGCAGCCAGUGUUUUGGUUUUGAAGCGCAGCACAAGUCGCGAUUCAACGCUAUACGCCAGCUUCCACAAGCCUUUUUCACUUUUGACCUCGGAUCAGGUAGGGAUACCCGCUGAACUUAAGCAUAUCAAUAAGCGGAGGA
This 334-nucleotide unclassified non-coding RNA is filed under the name soil metagenome. RNAcentral describes it as "partial contains 5.8S ribosomal RNA, internal transcribed spacer 2, and large subunit ribosomal RNA". The stretch from base 1 to 120 matches the Rfam family "5.8S ribosomal RNA", at positions 35 to 154 of the family's 154-position model. The record is from RNAcentral.